AUCAACUUUCGAUGGUAGGAUAGAGGCCUACCAUGGUGGUAACGGGUAACGGGGUGUUAGGGCACGACACCGGAGAGGGAGCCUGAGAAACGGCUACCACAUCCAAGGAUGGCAGCAGGCGCGCAAAUUACCCAAUCCCGACACGGGGAGGUAGUGACAAUAAAUAACAAUACGGGGUUCUUUCGGAUUUCGUAAUUGGAAUGAGUACAAUUUAAAUCUCUUAACGAGGAACAAUUGGAGGGCAAGUCUGGUGCCAGCAGCCGCGGUAAUUCCAGCUCCAAUAGCGUAUAUUAAAGUUGUUGCAGUUAAAAAGCUCGUAGUUGAAUUUCGGGAUCAUCAGGUUGGUCGUGCCUCUGGUAUGUACUGAUUUCGAUGGUCCCUCCUUCUUGAAGAGCCGUAAUGCCAUUAAUUUGGUGUUGCGGGGAAUCAGGACUGUUACUUUGAAAAAAUUAGAGUGUUUAAAGCAGGCAAUCGCUUGAAUACAUUAGCAUGGAAUAAUGAAAUAGGACGUUCGAUCCUAUUUUGUUGGUUUCUAGGAUUGACGUAAUGAUUAAUAGGGAUAGUUGGGGGCAUUAGUAUUCAAUUGUCAGAGGUGAAAUUCUUGGAUUUAUUGAAGACUAACUACUGCGAAAGCAUUUGCCAAGGAUGUUUUCAUUAAUCAAGAACGAAAGUUAGGGGAUCGAAGACGAUCAGAUACCGUCGUAGUCUUAACCAUAAACUAUGCCGACUAGGGAUCGGAUGAUGUUAAUUUUUUAAUGACUCAUUCGGCGCCUUACGGGAAACCAAAGUGUUUGGGUUC
This 799-nucleotide ribosomal RNA is filed under the name uncultured Glomus. Its description in RNAcentral is "SSU rRNA". It matches the Rfam family "Eukaryotic small subunit ribosomal RNA", at positions 314 to 1114 of the family's 1831-position model. RNAcentral also lists the same sequence under 1 other name. Lineage: Eukaryota; Fungi; Glomeromycota; Glomeromycetes; Glomerales; Glomeraceae. The record is from RNAcentral.